This 28-nucleotide small RNA is filed under the name Bombyx mori (domestic silkworm). RNAcentral's name for it is "ovarian small RNA-8058". The record is from RNAcentral. Lineage: Eukaryota; Metazoa; Arthropoda; Insecta; Lepidoptera; Bombycidae.
UGACAGAUAAGUGAAUGCCCUUCCUAGA